Long non-coding RNA from Cornus florida, 774 nucleotides. RefSeq lists it as uncharacterized. Lineage: Eukaryota; Viridiplantae; Streptophyta; Magnoliopsida; Cornales; Cornaceae. The record is from RefSeq and is a predicted model, not a curated record. The transcript is spliced from 2 exons.
UACGCCGCAUCCCCUUAUCAAGUACCAAUAGUUGUUGGAAAGAUUUGAGACUUUUGGGAGGAUGUACGCUCUGAAUACUGGAUAAGGAAGAUGACUCGAUGACUAUAGAUUGUCAAGAGAGAAAUGAGAAGAGAGUCAAGUCCAUGUACCUGAUGGGCUGUUACUUUUUGCCCUCAGAAAUAGUAGAGGAUGUAGAUCUUUUGAUCAGAAGGGCUGAGAGAUGCUUGCUAGCCUACAUGAUAAUGAUUGAUGCCGAUGAUGCCUGCAAGGAUGAUUAUUCUGUACGGUAAACAUUAUUGCAAAGAUUGUCGGGUGUCUUGGUCUUGAGAAGACAAUGUUUGAAGCAUCAAAUUCCAAACCCUCUGUUUGGUUUAUUAGACAAUAUGGUCCCAGGGUGAACCUUCUUGUGGAUCACUCUCAAGUGAUGGAUCUGGAGUGCCUUCGAGGUUGCAACCUUUGUAAAAAUCACACCUGUUCUUGGUUUGUCCGCAGUGGAACCGGUUAUGCUAAACUGGCGCCAAAUAUAUAUAGUCCGCAGUGGAACUGUUUAUGCUUUGUAAUUGUCCUGUGCUAUUUUGUAUGUUUAGAUCAUGUUAAAUACAUUUUGCCUUUGUUCAUAUAAUUUUUACUUCUGUAUUAGUACUCUUAUUUGCUCUUAGUAACAUCUUCAUGUUUUUGCAAACCAUGUAGAUUUAAUCUGUAACAUAACCUUUUGUUUCCAUAGUUGAUUUUGAUGCUUCUUACAAAAAAAUAAUAAUGAAUGGUUGGUGCUAA